Molecule: ribosomal RNA, 479 nt
Filed under: Marinomonas sp. 'Disko Bay 85'
Lineage: Bacteria; Pseudomonadati; Pseudomonadota; Gammaproteobacteria; Oceanospirillales; Oceanospirillaceae
Description: bacterial SSU rRNA
Rfam family: Bacterial small subunit ribosomal RNA
Source: RNAcentral
UGGCUCAGAUUGAACGCUGGCGGCAGGCUUAACACAUGCAAGUCGAGCGGUAACAGGGGAGCUUGCUCCUGCUGACGAGCGGCGGACGGGUGAGUAACGCGUAGGAAUCUGCCUAGUAGAGGGGGACAACAUGUGGAAACGCAUGCUAAUACCGCAUACGCCCUAAGGGGGAAAGGAGGGGACUCUUCGGAGCCUUCCGCUAUUAGAUGAGCCUGCGUGAGAUUAGCUAGUUGGUAGGGUAAAGGCCUACCAAGGCGACGAUCUCUAACUGGUCUGAGAGGAUGACCAGUCACACUGGGACUGAGACACGGCCCAGACUCCUACGGGAGGCAGCAGUGGGGAAUAUUGGACAAUGGGCGCAAGCCUGAUCCAGCCAUGCCGCGUGUGUGAAGAAGGCCUUAGGGUUGUAAAGCACUUUCAGGGGUGAGGAAGGGUGAUAGCUUAAUACGUUAUCAUCUUGACGUAGCCCCAGAAGAAGC